RNAcentral lists this ribosomal RNA (497 nucleotides) under uncultured bacterium. RNAcentral describes it as "partial 16S ribosomal RNA". It matches the Rfam family "Bacterial small subunit ribosomal RNA", at positions 28 to 507 of the family's 1533-position model. The record is from RNAcentral.
GAUGAACGCUGGCGGCGUGCCUAAUACAUGCAAGUCGAGCGAACAGACGAGGAGCUUGCUCCUCUGGCGUUAGCGGCGGACGGGUGAGUAACACGUGGAUAACCUACCUAUAAGACUGGGAUAACUUCGGGAAACCGGAGCUAAUACCGGAUAACAUGUUGAACCGCAUGGUUCAACAGUGAAAGACGGUCUUGCUGUCACUUAUAGAUGGAUCCGCGCCGCAUUAGCUAGUUGGUAAGGUAACGGCUUACCAAGGCAACGAUGCGUAGCCGACCUGAGAGGGUGAUCGGCCACACUGGAACUGAGACACGGUCCAGACUCCUACGGGAGGCAGCAGUAGGGAAUCUUCCGCAAUGGGCGAAAGCCUGACGGAGCAACGCCGCGUGAGUGAAGAAGGUCUUCGGAUCGUAAAACUCUGUUAUUAGGGAAGAACAAAUGUGUAAGUAACUAUGCACGUCUUGACGGUACCUAAUCAGAAAGCCACGGCUAACUACGUG